AUUCCAGUUUGGGGCGUAUCAUGUGUGUUUGGGGUGUAUCAUGAAGGUCUCCUUUUACUUCUUCCCAUCUCCAUUACAUGGCACUUCUUUAUAUUAAAUUUUAAUUUCCAUCGUUUACUUCAUUCAUAAAUUCUAUCAAUAUCCCUCUGUAGUUCCUCACAAUCCUCUUGGUUCUUUAUUACUUUCAUCAAUUUUGCAUCAUCUGCAAACAUGUUAAUGUAGCUAUUUAAACCCACCGUCAUAUCAUUUAUAUAGACCUGAAACUUUAUAGGUGCCAACACAGACUCUUGUGGUACUCCGCUUGUUACUUCGCACCAACUUGAUUUAUUAUCUCUGAUUACUGUACUCAUUUCCCUACCUUGGAGAUAAUCCUUCAUCCACUUAAGUAUUUUUCCUUUUAGCCCUCCUCGAUGUUCCAGUUUCCAUAUGAGACUUUUAUGUGGAACUGUAUCAAAAGCUUUUUUCACAUCUAAAUAGACUGCAUCAACCCAACCAUCUCUCUCUUGUAGUUUAUCUAUUACUCUUGUAUAAAAGCUCAGUAAGUUUGUUUCGCAAGAUCUCUCUUUCCUGAAACCAAAUUGUUUUUCUGUUAUUAUAUAUUCUUGUUCAAGAUAUUGCACCCAUCUGUUUUUAAUGACUAUUUCAUAGAGUUUACUUACAAUACUCGUGAGUGAGACUGGUCUGUAAUUCAGUGGUUCCAUUUUAUUACCUCCUUUGUAUAAUGGUACUGUAUUUGCUCUCUUCCAUUCCUUUGGUACUUUUCCCUCCUUCAAAGAACUGUUAAUUAUCUCCCAUAUUGGUUCUUCCAAUUCCUCUCUACAUUCUUUCAAUAUCAAUCCAUUUACUUCGUCUGGUCCCAUCAUCUUCCUAGUAUCUAGCUCUUCCAGUAGUCUUUUAAUUUCUUUUCUUUCCACUUGUAUGUUUUCUAUUCCUUUCUGUUGUUCCUCAUCUCCCAGUGAUGCAAAGACAGUUUCUCUUGUAAAUACAGACUUAAAGCUUUUAUUCAUUAUCUCAGCCAUCUCUUGUGUGGUUUCAUAAAUUUCUCCAUUUUUCUUCAGCUUUGUAAUGGUAUCUCUAUCCUUUAUUUUUCCAUUUACAUAUCUAUAGAAAAGUUUGGGUUCUUUACACUUUCCAACUACAUCUCUUUAAAAAUUUCUUUCUUGUUCUCUUCUUAUUUUAACAUAAUCAUUUCUAUCUGUCCUGUAUUCUUCUCUAUUUAUCUCAUUCCAUUGUUUCCUCAUUUUUUUCCAUGCCCUCUCCUUUUUUUUUGCCUCUGCACACUUUGCAUUAAACCACACUUUCUUAUUUUCUUUUACCUUAUAUCUUGGCACAUAUCUUUCAACACCUUCUCUAAACUUGCUUAAAAACACUUCAUAUUUUUUCUGCACCUCCAUACCUCUUAAUAAAUUACUCCAAUCAAGCUCUCCGUAGAAUUUCUUUAACCCUGUAAAGUCUGCCUUAGCAUAAUUUUUUCUCUCAUUUUUAUAUUCCUCAUUGAAUUUUGGCACUUCUUCUUUGAUCUCUAUCUCCAUCUUCACAUGAUUACUUUUUCCCACUGGACACAAAUAUUCUAUGCUUGGUUCAUUUUCUGGCUUUUUUGUAAAAACCAAGUCUAGUAGUGAUGGUUCAUCUUCCCCUCUGUACCUAGUAUUUUCUUUCACCCAUUGAUCCAACGUGUUUACCAUUUGUGUGUGUGUGUGUGUGUGUGUGUGUGUGUGUGUGUGUGUGUGUGUGUGUGUGUGUGUGUGACUGGGUAGUUGUGACAUGCAGGAAAGGAGCUAUGCUCAUACUGUCCUGCCUCUGUAUCUACUAUCAUUUAACUUGGCCUUGAAAUUAUGAAUAGUUUUUGCUUGCCCCACAUCCUUAUUUAGAGAGUUCCAUGUAUCAACUACCCUUUGUGGAAAACUAUUCUUUUUAAUAUCUGCUAGAAAUUUUCUUUUUUUAGCUUCUUUCCGUGUCCUCUUAUAUCUCACAUUGCAACGUUGCUGUCUAGCUUUUCCAGUCCUUCCAUUAGUCUAUGUAUCACAAUUAACUCUCCUCUCUCCCUUCUUUGUUCCAGAGUUGAAAGGUUUAGUUUUUAUAGGUUCAUUUUGUAUGUCUCUUCACUUAAGUUUGGGAUCAUCUUUGUUGCUGCUCUUUGUAUCCUCUCCAGUUUCCUGAUGUGUUUCUUGAGACUUGGUGACCAUACUACAGCUGUAUAUUCCAAUUUUGGAUGAAUCAUCAUUACAAUUAGAUUCCUCAUCAAUUCUUCAUCUAAGUAUGCAAAUGCAAUUCUUAUAUUCCUUAGCAAAUUCACUGUUUCCCCAACAAUCUUGUUUAUACGGUAAACAGCUGUUAAUGUGUCUGCUACUAUCACUCCAAGAUCCAUUUCCUCUAUUCUCUUCCAAUAUAGUCAUCUCCCAAAUUUUAAUCACCAGAUGGUCUUUUUUACUCCUCCCAAACUCCAGUAAGCUACAUUUCUUUGCACUAAAAUUCAUUUCCCAUUUACAGCUCCAUUUUUUAAUCUGGUUCAUAUCUUGUAAAGCUUUCUGAUCUUCCUCUGUUUCUACUUUUUUUCAUCAAUUUAGCAUCCUCCGCAAAUAAACUCAUAUAGCUGUUGAUCCCUUCCAUCAUAUCAUUAGUGUACACAGUGAACAUGACUGGAGCCAGUACAGAACCUUGAGGUACUCCAAUAGCUACUUUUCUCCAAGAUGACUUUUGAUCUCUAAUAACUGUUCUCAUUUUUCUAAUGCUUAGAAAGUCUUCCAUCCACUUCAAGGGUUCCCUCUCACUCCACCAACGUUCUUUAUCUUCCACACGAGUCUCUUAUGUGGCACCAUGUCGAAGGCCUUUUUCAAAUCCAAGGAGAUACCAUCUACCCAUCCAACUCACUCUUGUACUAUGUCAAUUAUUCUUGAGUAAAAACAAAUCAGAUUAGUUGUACAUGAUCUCCCUCUACAAAAUCCGAAUUGUUUAUGAGUUAUCAUGCCAGUUUCUUCCAAAAAUUUUGUCCAUUUAUCUUUCACAAUUCAUUCACAUAUUUUUCCCAUGACUGAUGUUAAUGAUACUGGUCUAUAGUUCAGAGGGUUUUUUUUACACCCCAAUUUAAAUAUUGGUACAAUAUCAGCCUUUUUCCAGUCACUUGAUACCUUGCUCUCUUGUAAUGAAUGCUCUACAAUAUGAUGUAUUUUGUCUGCCAACUGACUAUUGCAUUCCUUUAAAACCCAGUUUGAUAUACCAUCUGGUCCCUGUGCUUUAUCUACUUCUAACUUCUGCAUCAUUUCCUGUAUUUCAUCGGUAGCUACAUUAAUUUCUCCAAGAGAGUUAACUGCUGCUCCUUCACUUUCUUGUAUUAUAAACUUGCUUUCUUUGUUGAAGACUGACUGAAAGGCAUCACUCAACACCACCAUAUCCUCAACCUCUUCAUAUUUUUUGCCAUCUAAAUUUAUUUUUUUAAUUAUUUCCUUUCAUAGUAUUUUAUUGUUAUGUCUGUAGAACAGUUUUGGUUGAUCUUUGCAUUUAUCUAUUAUAUCUUUCUUGUAUUUUCUACACUCUUCUCUUUGUAUCUUAACAUAUUCAUUUCUCUUUGUCUUAUACUCUGCCCACAAAUUUUAUCUUCUUCCUCUCUUCCAUUUUUUUUUUCAAACAGUACCUCUUUUUUUUAUAUUUCACAUCUACUAAACCAAUCAUUACAUCCAACUUUUCUUCUUCUUUCUUUUGGUAUAUAUCUUUGCACCCCUUCAUUAUAUAUUUCAACAAAUUCUUUCCAUUUCCUUUCCACUCCCCUGACUUCUUUAAAUUUAGUCCAGUCAUUUUCCUCAACGUAUUUCUUAAUUUGAUCAAAUUUUCCUUACUUGUAACUGAAUCUUCCAAUCCUAUGGUUUCUUUUUAAUUCUUCUUUAAAUUAUUUUAAGUUUAGUUCUAUUACCAUGUGGUCUCUUUUUCCUAUUAUACAUGUGUAUUCCAUAUUAUCAACAAUUUCUGGUUCUUUUGUAAAUACUAAAUCUAGUCUUGAUGGUUCUUUACCCUUUCUACAUCUUGCUCUAGGUACAAAUUUCUCCACAGCAGAAUUACAUAUCCUUAUAAAUUCAUCACAUUUUUCCCAAACAUCUUCUGCAUCUUCAAAGUCUUUCCAGUCCACAGUAACAAGGUAUUUUCUUAAUUUUUCAGUCAGCUUAACUAUACGAGUAUUUAAAUUUUUUCACCUUAUAAUUUUCAUCAAUGAUUACAUUUUCAUUUUUCAAAUUAAAUUCCAUCAACACAUGAUCACUUUUACCUAGAGGGCUAUCAUAGUGUAUAGUUUCAAUAAUUUUCAUGUCUGGUAAACACUGAAUCAAGUCUUGAUGGUUUAUCUCUUCCACUAAAUCUGGUAUCACAAUCAACCCAUUGAGUCAUCAAGUUUUCCACUGCCCAGUUUAAUAGUCUAUUACUACAUAAGUUCUCACUUCCAGUAGUUGUUAUUGUCUCCCAAUUUAUCUCCUUACAAUUAAAAUCACCAACAAUAACUAUAUCACUACUUUCCAUCACUAUCUCUUCAAGACCUUUUAACACAUCUACCAACAUCUCUUCUUGCUCUUCUUUUUGUCAAGUAUUGGUCACAGGUGGCACAUACACUCCUACAUAAUUCAUUAUCUUUCCAUUUCCACUUCUAAUCAUCACUUGUAGAAUUUCGGACUUGUCUUCGCUUUUUAUUACCUUCUCCACUUUAACAUAUUUUUUAGUUAGAAUGAUCACUCUACCUCCUCCCUUGUCACUUUUAUUUUUCAUCCAUAAAUCAUCAUCACCAAUGUCAGGAGUUCCCAUUAAUUUUUCCAUUUUGUCUCACAUAAUACAAUAACAUUCGGUGCAGUUCUGCUUAAGAACUCAUUUAAUUCCAUUUUAGUUUCCAUUAAUCCAUUUACAUUAGUAUAACAUACCUUACUUACUGUUUGAUGUACCAUUUCUUUUACUUUCAUAUCUCUUACUCUCCAGAAAACUUCUUUUUCUCCUCCCCCAUUCGUUGUUUGUUUGUUUGUUUUUUUAGCCUCAUUUACCAGCUCCUUUUGCUUCAACCUUCCAGUCUCAUCCAUAUCCUUGUUUAUCCAUACAUUCCUAUAUUCUUCAUCUCCAGACAGCUCCAAGACCCAUUGAUUACUUCUGCUUAUACCUGUGUUGCAAACCUUAUUCUUAUGGGUCUCAUUUUUCUUCUUCAUAUUUCCCAAUUCUAUGGAACUCUUCCACUUACUUUAAUACCAGACUGUCUUCAUCCGUCACUUUCUUCAGCAACUUACUUAACAGGUUCUUUUCCUUUUCCUCUCUUUGAAUUCCACCUACCAUUUUCUCUUCCCUUAAAUCAAAUACAAUUACUUGUUUAUAUUUUUCUGUAGUGUCUCUCACUAACUUUUUCUCUUCUUUAAUAACAUUUACCAUUUUCUGUCUGAGGUUUUGUUUCUCAUUUUCUUGUUGUUCUAUUAUUUUCUUUAGUGAUUCUUCUUCAAAUUUGCUUUCAUUUAACCACUUAUUUUGCCUCAUUUCCACAUCCUUUACACUUGCCUUCAUUUCCUCAUUUCCUUUCUGAACAAUUUAUACUUUUCCUUUAUUUGUUCUUUUAAACAGUCAUUUUCCACCUUUAACUUGUCAUUUUUAUCUUCCGUCUCUGUCAACUUUGCUGUAAUAAUUAACAAAGUACACGAGACUUACCGUAGGUCAGUUGAAGUGUACUUCUAAUUUUUCGAGGCAAAUCACCUCUGCUGGUGCGGACAUUUCCCAUGAGAGAGUGCGUCACGCGCUGCUGGCAGUUCUUUGCUGAUCGCCGCGUCGGGCAGACACGGUCAUUCUGGGUCAUACGGACUUCCAAGUUUUUGCUGUUUUCUUUCAGAUAAGGCCACGAUACUUGUUACGCAGUGCGGCAGCCAUGUCGGAGUCUGGUGAAGCGUCCUCUGCCUCUCGAUCCCCUUCCCCUCCUGCCCCACGUGCCUUCUGUGGGCCUUCUCCUCUCCCUGGGUCCACUGUUCGCCCUCAAGAUGACGACGACAGGCACAGGGAUCAUUCAUCUCGUCGCUUGAGUGGGAGGCAUGGUUGCGUGAGAUUACGUAACAGUGCUGACGCACGUGGUUCCCGCGGCACUUCUCCUGCUCCUCUCCCUUGGUCAGUUGUGUUGGACGCCUUGACUGAUUUGCGGGGUGAAGUGGAGGCCUUGAAGGCAGACAGACGGCAACUACCACCCCCUACUGGGUCGGCGCAGGUGACUGUGGAGGACAGUACUCUGGGGGGCAGGGGUUUGUCGCCUCCUUGUUCUGCCACUUUUUCUGGUUUCUCGGCCAGGAUGUGUGCCUCCACUGUCUUUAUUCUCUCCAAUAACUUGU
This is a long non-coding RNA of Scylla paramamosain (green mud crab), 6323 nucleotides long. RefSeq lists it as uncharacterized. The record is from RefSeq and is a predicted model, not a curated record. The transcript is spliced from 2 exons. NCBI's taxonomy places the organism in Eukaryota, Metazoa, Arthropoda, Malacostraca, Decapoda, Portunidae.